UGUCAUGUUUGAUUUGUAGAAUCUGGAGCUUGUUCUGAUUUCUUUUUUUGUGCGAUAGUGUCUUUUUGUUGGGUAUUUUUUGCAAAUAAUUUCUUUGAGUUCUUUGAAUAGUUCCUUUAAUAUUUUCACCACGUGAUUCAGUGGCUGCCCCAGCAUCUAACAUUAAGACUGCUAUCUGUGGACUGAGGACCUGAGGACUUUUUUGAAGGAGACCCUGCAGCUCCAUGUGAAUGCUGGAAAAUGGCCUCUGUUGAAGAUCUCUGAAGGAGAGCGGGAAAGCAGGGCGUGUUCUACAGCGUAAGGAACCAUGCGGCUGUCCAUCUGGUUAGGAUUGAGAAUCUGUGGCAUUGUCCGCGACCUGGAGGCACUGCAGAGGAUGUCCCGAAUCAGAGUCUGAGGCUUUGAUGUUGAGGCGCUCCAGAGAGCGGCUGGAACAAAGGGUGGCACUGCCGAGGAGUCAUGAAAGAGUCUGAGCAGGUGUGGCCGCACACCUGUGAGAGACCAAGGCCCGAAUCACACAGCGUGUGGCUCAACAGCUCCUACUGAGAGCAUGAAGGGCCCCCUGCACCAUUCCAGCUAACGGGACGUUUGAAGAACAUUCCGGUUAGAUUUUGAUUCUGUUCUGAGAUGACAUCAAAAAGUCUUGAGAACGUUUACCCAAACCUUCCUGGAAUGUUUUGGGAGAAUAAAAUUGUAUGUUGGGAUGGCACUGCUUACAAUUUAAGCACUAAUCCAGAAAAAUAAACAGAAUGCCCCCAUACGCAAGAGGCAAACAACCCAUAUAAGGUUGAACAAGUCAACCUUCAGUUUACUGAUUGGCAGUGCUACUCAUGAUUUGCUGUGCUAGUAGCAAGCUAUACAGUCAGACCAUGAAAAAAUUCUUCCUUAUCAUCUACCAAAGUCAAAUCAUACCAGUUACAUUAGCACACUGGACCAAACCCUCAAUGCAUAAUCAGGGUCUCCCUGGCCAUAGCCUUUAAGCUGCUUUCUGAGCAAAGCUAAUGGGGAUGAAGGCCACUGUUACCCCAGGCAGUGUGGCUGGAAGCCUGCCCUUCUAUGCAGAGGGAAAGCUCUGAUCCUUUUGGCCCAGACUAGGACAGAGCCCUGGGGAAGCCUGCUGGCCUAACUCCGUUCUGCCACAUAGUUCUGUCCCCCGCUUAAAAAACUGUGCCAGCCAAUCAGGAACGUCGACAAAGCAGCUCAGCAUCAUCAGACAGUGCCCAGAUAUACUUCUGAAAAUGUGCAGAUUUGAGGAAAAGCGUCAUGCAGGGAUUAUCAUAGCUGAUGCUCAAAAAUUUGUGUGGGUUUUUUUUUCCGCCAAAUCGAAGAACAAACAAUCUGAAAUUCUGAAAAAUUACGUAGAGAGUUAUAGCCCUCAGAACGAACCGCUCCUUCCAGAAAAUAUAUCCCUGCUCCUCGGCUGUGGAAGCAGCCAUCUGUUUCUGCCCACGCGUUUGGUGACCUCAACAUAGACGGCUACACCCAAAAGCUCAGCAGUCUCACCAGGCCUGUCCAAAGCACAGGGACAAAAUGCA
Long non-coding RNA from Anguilla rostrata (American eel), 1535 nucleotides. RefSeq lists it as uncharacterized. NCBI's taxonomy places the organism in Eukaryota, Metazoa, Chordata, Actinopteri, Anguilliformes, Anguillidae. The transcript has 4 exons. The record is from RefSeq and is a predicted model, not a curated record.